This 384-nucleotide ribosomal RNA is filed under the name Triticum aestivum (bread wheat). RNAcentral describes it as "partial small subunit ribosomal RNA". Lineage: Eukaryota; Viridiplantae; Streptophyta; Magnoliopsida; Poales; Poaceae. The record is from RNAcentral.
AUGUACAGAGUUGUGAUUGAUGUUGGACAUGUGGUGAACAACAAGACACUAUGGAAACUAAAAGUGAUGUUAAAAAUCAAGAUCUUUAUGUGGUAUUUAAUCAAGGGAGUUGUGUUGACUAAAGAUAAUAUAACUAAACAAAACUUGGAAUGGCAUUUAAAAUGUAGUUUAUGCAGUAACUUAGAAACUAUUCAUCACUUCUUUCUUGACUGUUGCUAUGCUAGAUUCAUUUGUAGACUUACUUACUUCAAGUUUGGCAUAAAACCUCCUAGAAAUGUCAAUCAUAUGUUUGGAUCUUGGCUUAAUGGCUUUGACAUGAGACUAAAAAAAUCACAUCUUAGUAGGUGCAUCAACUAUGUUUUGGGCUAUCUGUCUAACUCGUAA